This 515-nucleotide ribosomal RNA is filed under the name uncultured bacterium. Its description in RNAcentral is "partial 16S ribosomal RNA". It matches the Rfam family "Bacterial small subunit ribosomal RNA", at positions 28 to 523 of the family's 1533-position model. The record is from RNAcentral.
GAUGAACGCUGGCGGCGUGCCUAAUACAUGCAAGUCGAGCGAAUGGAUUGAGAGCUUGCUCUUAUGAAGUUAGCGGCGGACGGGUGAGUAACACGUGGGUAACCUGCCCAUAAGACUGGGAUAACUCCGGGAAACCGGGGCUAAUACCGGAUAACAUUGUGAACCGCAUGGUUCGAAAUUGAAAGGCGGCUUCGGCUGUCGCUUAUGGAUGGACCAGCGUCGCAUUAGCUAGUUGGUGAGGUAACGGCUCACCAAGGCAACGAUGCGUAGCCGACCUGAGAGGGUGAUCGGCCACACUGGGACUGAGACACGGCCCAGACUCCUACGGGAGGCAGCAGUAGGGAAUCUUCCGCAAUGGACGAAAGUCUGACGGAGCAACGCCGCGUGAGUGAUGAAGGCUUUCGGGUCGUAAAACUCUGUUGUUAGGGAAGAACAAGUGCUAGUUGAAUAAGCUGGCACCUUGACGGUACCUAACCAGAAAGCCACGGCUAACUACGUGCCAGCCGCCGCCGUAA